RNAcentral lists this ribosomal RNA (420 nucleotides) under uncultured bacterium. RNAcentral's name for it is "bacterial SSU rRNA". It matches the Rfam family "Bacterial small subunit ribosomal RNA", at positions 356 to 773 of the family's 1533-position model. The record is from RNAcentral.
AAGGAAUAUUGGUCAAUGGGCGCAAGCCUGAACCAGCCAUCCCGCGUGCAGGAUGAAGGUCCUAUGGAUUGUAAACUGCUUUUAUCAGGGAAGAAACGCCUUCAUUUAUGAGGGUCUGACGGCACCUGAGGAAUAAGCACCGGCUAACUCCGUGCCAGCAGCCGCGGUAAUACGGAGGGUGCGAGCGUUAUCCGGAAUCACUGGGUUUAAAGGGUGCGUAGGCGGGGAAUUAAGUCAGUGGUGAAAGCCUGUCGCUUAACGAUAGAAUUGCCAUUGAUACUGAUUUUCUUGAAUUGGGUUGAGGUUAGCGGAAUGUGACGUGUAGCGGUGAAAUGCAUAGAUAUGUCAUGGAACACCAAUUGCGAAGGCAGCUAACUGGGCCUUGAUUGACGCUGAGGCACGAAAGCGUGGGUAGCGAAC